This 93-nucleotide non-coding RNA is filed under the name insect gut metagenome. RNAcentral's name for it is "Plasmid-encoded Shigella sRNA A". It matches the Rfam family "Plasmid-encoded Shigella sRNA A". The record is from RNAcentral.
UGGCUACGAAAAGAGUUUUAAUUUUUUUAAGAGACCGGAGAGAAUUAACGGUUUCGGGCGACAGGCACAACGGAGAGAGAAACUAUGUUUGAA